CCACCGAGGACAUGCGCGAGUGCACAAAUGCUUCCCACUGUCUGUUCCGGUCUCCAGACAGACAGCUCCCAGUCCGUUCUUACAACCUAAAAAGGUGUCUUGAGCCUCUGAAUAGAAUACCAUAGGAGGGCAGGCAGUGUUGGCCACAAGUAGCUCCCCAUUACUCCCCAGUUUAAACCCAGCAGCUGAAGGAGCAGAGUAUUCUCAAUCUGUUUCAAUGUGUCCUUUAGUCAUUUUACUAAACACAUAAGGUGCGGGUGUGUGUUGUUUUUAACUUAGAGCAGCCUGUGCUCUGUAUUGUGCCUGGAGGGAGAAGACCGGCUUGCUUCAGUCUGCAGGGCUCUCCCCUGAAGUCCCGUGUCUAAGUGCUUGUGCUUGCUUAGUUUCUAUUGUUUGCUAGUGCUCUCAUGCUGUGGCCAGGACUUAUUUUUGCUGCCCAGUAGAGUUACUCUGUGGUUUCCUUGUGUGGUGAACUGCGCUGUGUACAGUCAGAUGUUCCUUACCAGGAUCUGGACUAGUGUAGCCCCACACCCUGCUGCAGGGGACACUUCAGGUCACUUUCACAGGCUCUGGGGGAUUCCGAGGUUUCUUGGGUCAUAGGUACUAUUUGCAUCGGUCCCCGUGUGUGUUUAGGUUUGUACGUGUGGCUCAUUACUCCCGAGAGCACAGGAUAGCUUGUUUUUCUAGGCAGAGACAGGGUUGGAGUACGCGCUCCCCAGGCCCAGACACCGUGGAUACAGCCAAGCCUCGCCGUCCCCACCUAGUGGCUGUCAGCAGAGGUGGUGCAGGGCCUCUCCAUAGCUGCUCGCUCUGUGUGUGGUCCAUGUGUGGAAGCAGCAUUUCUGUUGAAGUCUUAAUAAAGCUUUACCAGUCUUGUGGACUCA
RNAcentral lists this long non-coding RNA (884 nucleotides) under Rattus norvegicus (Norway rat). Its description in RNAcentral is "long non-coding RNA NONRATT011627". Lineage: Eukaryota; Metazoa; Chordata; Mammalia; Rodentia; Muridae. The record is from RNAcentral.